This is a non-coding RNA of Salvelinus sp. IW2-2015, 1205 nucleotides long. Lineage: Eukaryota; Metazoa; Chordata; Actinopteri; Salmoniformes; Salmonidae. The record is from RefSeq and is a predicted model, not a curated record.
AAGAAACACCCAGCAGCGUUGCAGUUCUUGACACAAACCGCAAAUGAACCUCCUGAGAGGACUGCUAUACUCUUACGGACAUGAUGGCAGUACUCAAGAUGGACGUUGUAGUCAGAUGCCCUACUGUUUACAAUGCUUUUGAAAAGACUGGAGAACAGUUCUUCUACCAGUGUAGUAGUGACAAAUUGUAGUGGUAGGGAUUACCUCUUGGAAAUUGUAAAUUUUUUAGGUAUGAACAGUCUUAAAAUGACCUGGGGCCUGUGUGACCCUGGCCUUGCUAUCACUGGCUGUGCUUUCUAUGCCUAUCAGCUGGUGUUUUCAGAGGACUUGUAAAUGUUGCUAUAUGGCUUGAAAGGCUUUGAGAUGAGAGAGGAAGCCAGUUCUAUUUCUCCCUCUCAACAACCCAUAUGAAAACGGAAUAAUCAGGGAGCCCUGAUUUGUAUCAUAUCCAGGUAUGACUGACUGAUUACGCUGGGGUAUCUGGUUGUUGAAAAAAAAUGCAUGCCAUUUAUGUUGUUCUAGAACAACCACAUUAAUGAAGUUAUCUCCUGCAUGUACUGUAUGGGUUAUAUUUGAAGUGGUGGACCGUAGGGCAGUUUGGGCAAAUGCCAGAUGGCCUGGUCUGUUUUUUUGCCAAUGGCGCCUGUCAAUGUAGUGCAAAAUUGUUAUUUGGCUAGUAAUGAGGGCCUUGAGGAAAGAAAUUGGCCAGGAUGGGGGCAUUGAACGAAAUGGGCCGGUGUGUUAAAUGCCUGGGCUGAUGUCUGGUACCAAUCUUUUGCUGUUUGAAAAGUUGUGGGUAAAAUAUUUACAUGAGCUGCUGGUAGAGUUUCCAAUGGCCUGACUGUUCCCUGUUUUAGUAAUUAAGAUCUCUUUUAGAGCCAUCUUGCAGAUUGAGGCGUUUGCUGAUGCCCGAAGUCAUCUAAAAACCAUGUAAAAAGAAUGUGGGAAGUUUUAACCAUGCUAACUUGUUUCUCAGCCUAUAACAUGGCUACUGACAAGUGCAAGAUUAUGCAUUUCAAUAGGCAGUGGGCCUGUAUUUGAUCAAACUGCUUCCUGACAUUUAAUAUUGGCAUUGGCUCUGUGAAAUGCACAGAACCUGGUUGACUGCUUAUAUUGAAUGUCAGUCAAUGCCAUGCAGGGAUUAUGACUAAUUAUUGACAUAUCAGGUUUAUCAUCUUGAGCAAUAAAUAUUGUCUGAAUAACCA